This 152-nucleotide ribosomal RNA is filed under the name uncultured bacterium. RNAcentral's name for it is "partial 16S ribosomal RNA". It matches the Rfam family "Bacterial small subunit ribosomal RNA", at positions 1348 to 1500 of the family's 1533-position model. The record is from RNAcentral.
GUCAGCAUACUGCCGUGAAUACGUUCCCGGGCCUUGUACACACCGCCCGUCACACCAUGAGAGUUGGGAAUACCCGAAGCCUGUGAGCUAACGUUAAGAGGCAGCAGUCGAAGGUAGAAUCAAUGAUUGGGGUGAAGUCGUAACAAGGUAUC